This 459-nucleotide ribosomal RNA is filed under the name uncultured bacterium. RNAcentral describes it as "partial 16S ribosomal RNA". It matches the Rfam family "Bacterial small subunit ribosomal RNA", at positions 338 to 795 of the family's 1533-position model. The record is from RNAcentral.
CCUACGGGAGACAGCAGUGAGGAAUAUUGGUCAAUGGCCGGAAGGCUGAACCAGCCAAGCCGCGUGAAGGACGACGGUGCUAAGGAUUGUAAACUUCUUUUGUCCAGGGACAAAAUACGGCUCGAGAGCCUGACCGAGGGUACCUGAAGAAUAAGCAUCGGCUAACUCCGUGCCAGCAGCCGCGGUAAUACGGAGGAUGCGAGCGUUAUCCGGAUUUAUUGGGUUUAAAGGGUGCGUAGGCGGACGUUUAAGUCAGCGGUAAAAGCCCGGGGCUCAACCCCGGCGAGCCGUUGAAACUGGCUUUCUUGAGAGGGCGAGAGGUAUGCGGAAUGCGCAGUGUAGCGGUGAAAUGCUUAGAUAUCGCGCAGAACUCCGAUUGCGAAGGCAGCAUACCGGCGGCGAACUGACGCUGAGGCACGAAAGCGUGGGUAUCGAACAGGAUUAGAUACCCCAGUAGUC